UGCAAUGACGGGUAGCGGGACUGAGACACUGCCCGGACCUCCACGGAGGGCUGCAGUAACGAAUAUUGGGCAAUGGGCGAAAGCCUGACCCAGCGACGCCGCGUGUAGGAGGAAGUCCUUCGGGAUGUAACCUACUGUCAGGGGGAAGAAAGUGCGCUCCGGCGUAUUGACCUAACCCAGAGGAAGUCACGGCUAACUUCGUGCCAGCAGCCGCGGUAAGACGAAGGUGGCAAGCGUUGUUCGGUAUUACUGGGCUUAAAGCGUGUGUAGGCGGAAACUUAAGCGUUUUGUGAAAUCCCUCGGCUUAACCGAGGAAUUGCUUGACGAACUGGGUUUCUUGAGGCAGGUAGGGGUGCACAGAACUCUUGGUGGAGCGGUGGAAUGCGUAGAUAUCAAGAGGAAUGCCGGUGGAGAAGUCGGUGCACUGGGCCUGUCCUGACGCUGAGACACGAAAGCGUGGGGAGCGAACGGGAUUAGAUACCCCGGUAGUCCACGCUGUAAACGAUGCCUACUAGGUUGUGGUGGUUCUGACGCCAGCACAGCCGAAGCUAAAGUGUUAAGUAGGCCGCCUGGGGAGUACGGUCGCAAGGCUAAAACUCAAAGGAAUUGACGGGGGCUCACACAAGCGGUGGAGCAUGUGGAUUAAUUCGAAUCAACGCGCAGAACCUUACCUGGGUUUGACAUGCUUGGAUGCCGCUCUGGAAACAGAGUUGGCUGCCUUCGGGUGAAACUUGCACAGGUGCUGCAUGGCUGUCGUCAGCUUGUCGUGAGAUGUCGGGUUAAGUCCUUUAACGAGCGAAACCCUUGCCGUUAGUUGCCAGCGAGUAAUGUCGGGGACUCUAACGGGACUGCCGGUGUUAAACCGGAGGAAGGUGGGGAUGACGUCAAGUCAUCAUGGCCUUUAUGCCCAGGGCCUCACACGUGCUACAAUGGUCGGAACAGAGCGACGCAAGACCGCGAGGUGGAGCAAAUCGCAAAAAUCCGGCCUCAGUUCUGAUUGCAGGCUGGCAACUCGCCUGCAUGAAGGUGGAAUCGCUAGUAAUCGCGUAUCAGCUAUGACGCGGUGAAUGUGUUCCUGAGCCUUGUACACACCGCCCGUCAAGUGAUGGGAGUUGGGAGUACCCGAAGUCGUUUUGCUAACCCCGCAAGGGGAGGCGGAUGCCGACGGUAAGCCCGAUGACUGGCACUAAGUCGGAACAAGGUA
RNAcentral lists this ribosomal RNA (1204 nucleotides) under metagenome. RNAcentral describes it as "bacterial SSU rRNA". It matches the Rfam family "Bacterial small subunit ribosomal RNA", at positions 299 to 1498 of the family's 1533-position model. The record is from RNAcentral.